AGCAGCGUGGCUCAGCGGAAAGAGCACGGGCUUGGAAGUCAGAGGUCAUGGGUUUGAAUCCCAGCUCUGCCA
Molecule: transfer RNA, 72 nt
Filed under: Ornithorhynchus anatinus (platypus)
Lineage: Eukaryota; Metazoa; Chordata; Mammalia; Monotremata; Ornithorhynchidae
Rfam family: tRNA
About the family: Transfer RNA (tRNA) molecules are approximately 80 nucleotides in length. Their secondary structure includes four short double-helical elements and three loops (D, anti-codon, and T loops).
Source: Rfam by way of RNAcentral